Molecule: long non-coding RNA, 2330 nt
Organism: Daucus carota subsp. sativus
Lineage: Eukaryota; Viridiplantae; Streptophyta; Magnoliopsida; Apiales; Apiaceae
Exons: 4
Source: RefSeq, a predicted model, not a curated record
CAGAGGGAGUUCAUUUUUCUUUUAAUUAGUUAAAUCCUUAUCUUCUACAAUAAUCAUUUGCAGGAUGGGGAACAAACGAGGCAUUAAUCAUCAAUUAGAUUUUGGCUCACAGGAAUGCCUCGCAGCAUAAACUUAUUCAAGAAACUUAUGCUGCAACUUAUGGAGAAGAUCUGCUCAAAGCUUUGGACAAAGAACUGUCAAGUGAUUUUGAGCUCUUGGUCCCUCUUGUUAGUUAAUUCAGGUAUGAGGGCGAUGAGGUGAAUAUGACUUUGGCCAAAUCAGAGGCUAAGCAUCUGCAGGAGAAGAUAUCUGAGAAGUGCUGCAACGAUGAGGAGAUAAUCAGGAUCUUGACUACAAGGAGCAAAGCCCAGCUCAAUGCAACCCUCAAUCACUACAACAAUCAACUGGAAAUGCUAUUAACAAGGGCCAUCCUAGAAUUGAUGAAUGUAGUUGUCAACUGGAGUAGAACAUUAUUUAGAAUGCGCGCGCAGCUGGAAAGAUCAGCUAAGCAUGACCUACAAGUCGUUUUCCCUCUCUAUUACCUACUUGAUUCCAGACUAUCCAGUUGAUAAUGAUUCCCUUCCCAAUGGAAUGAAACUACAAACCAUGGAAUAACAUGUACGAAUAAGAGGUAAAAGCUGAUCCUUUCUUCUCCGUAAUGGAUCCUAAGUACGUUACUCUCCCUCAGGCUCUUUGAUUUUUGUAUACUUUUCCUUUCGGAUGUGUCACUCAAUUGUUUAAAUUCCACAAUUUUCUCAAAAUAAUAAUCUUUAUAAUAUCAAAACCCCAACCACAUGCCGCUUUUUACUUUUUCAGGAUCCGAUCAUUUUAUCAUUAUUUUAUAUAUUUUUAUACAUUUUUCUUAGUAUUUGUGUCCAAUCCAAACAUAUCAGACUUAGGAGAGUAAACCGAUAACCAUAUCUCAAUAUCAUCAGUACUGAGAUCACAUCAAACAAAUUAUUACAUUUGAAUAUCAUUGGUGUUAAGAUCACACCGAAAAACAAUCGGUAUCGAUAAAACACGAUUAUGCAAAACAAAUAGCACAAAUUUCCCGACAUCGAUAAGUUCUAAGGAAUUAUCAACUACAGUUUCGUUAUGUGAUCUAUUUUUCUCUCCAUUGCGUUUUUCUUUAUUUCAGCACCCCUUUUCACCAAGCACUACAUGAAACUCAAGACACAUACUCCCUCCGUCCCCCUCAAUUCUUUACAUUAGAGGGGGACACGGAGACCAAGACAAUGUAUGAAAAAUGAGUAAAGUUAGAUAAAAAGUGGGUAAAGUGGUGGGACAUAUCAAUAUUUAAUGAUAGAUUUGAGAUAGUGGAGGAAAGUAGUGGGUGUAAUAGUAGUUUUUAUUGUUAAAUAUGUGAUAGUAGAGGAAGAUAGUGAGUGUAAUGAUGGGAAAAACUUACUAUUUAUAGUAACGUAAAGAAAUGAGAGGGACAUCUCAAAAUAGUAACCGUAAAGAAAUGAGAGGGACAGAGGGAGUACUAUUAUAUUUACAUGAAUCAUUUAGUCAGCGUGUAUUCAAAAUCAUGGCCGGCUAACUUGGGGCCAAAGCAAUUACAGAACCUCACGUUAAAAGCGAUCUGAAAUUAGUUUCCUAUACAUAAUUCAAAGAGAAAAAGAUCGAGAGAGAGGGGCAAUUAAGAAGAUGGGUUUGUCACAUGAUGCUGCUCCGACUUUCAAAUCUUAUGGGGUUCCUCAUGUCUCAACGAGUAUGCCUUUUUAUUACAAUUAUUUACAAUAUUCUUUCUUUUUCUCAUGAUUUUGAGUGGAAUUGCGAAAGGUGUUGAAUUUAAUCUUAUUUGUUUGUGUGUAUUUGUUUGUUUGUUUAAUCCCUGUGUUUUGUUUGGUUUUUGAUGUUUUUGGCGAUUUUUCGUGUUACAUGUGAUACGCUUCGUUGUUCGCUUUGCAUACGACGAGGCAACUUGAUCGAUAGCAUAGCGGUGGUGGCCGAUGGUGGCGGUGACGGCGGUUUCAGGACGGGAUCCAGAUCCGGUUUCAGAAAGGAAAGCGCGCUAAUUGUGCCUUAAUUGAGGGCGGAUUCUUGGAAGAAGGCCGGUUUUCUUUUCGGACAUUAAAGUUUUAUUGUCUAAAUUUCCCCGGUCAUCUUGCAUGUCCGACGGUUAGGUAAUAAGUUUUCUUGAAUGAAAGAAUUAUCACGGUGAAUUGCCGAUUCUUGUUGAGAUUUAUUCUCAUUUUCAAAAAAAAAAGAUAAAAAAAAAAUUUCCCGACAUCGAUUGUAUAUACAAAUAGUAAAAGAGGAUCUGCCGUUGACUAUAAUAAAGUGGUAGCAAAACCGCGUGUGCUUGGCAAUAGAGCAUUUUAUUA